AAAGUCGUAACAAGGUAACCGUAGGUGAACCUGCGGUUGGAUCAUUAAAAAGAUCAAGCCCGAGGCCGUUAGGAUGCUUGCGUCCUCCUGAGCGCUAGGGCUUCUCGCUGAAAAAGUGAGUUAAACAUUAUGUGAACUGUUUUGUCUCUGGCGGUGGGGUGGUGUCAAAACCACCUGUCAGCAUCCGGGUUCUCUCGGUGUGCCGUGGACAAGCCGUCAAUGGUGUAUGUUUCAUACAAACUUUUGUUUCAUCAAUCUGUCUGACAUACCUUUGUAUCUAAAAUAUACAAAAACAACUUUUGGCAACGGAUCUCUUGGCUCCC
This 323-nucleotide unclassified non-coding RNA is filed under the name Chytridiomycota sp. Its description in RNAcentral is "partial contains small subunit ribosomal RNA, internal transcribed spacer 1, and 5.8S ribosomal RNA". The stretch from base 1 to 47 matches the Rfam family "Eukaryotic small subunit ribosomal RNA", at positions 1785 to 1831 of the family's 1831-position model. Lineage: Eukaryota; Fungi; Chytridiomycota. The record is from RNAcentral.